Molecule: ribosomal RNA, 776 nt
Filed under: uncultured Neocallimastigales
Lineage: Eukaryota; Fungi; Neocallimastigomycota; Neocallimastigomycetes; Neocallimastigales
Description: partial large subunit ribosomal RNA
Rfam family: Eukaryotic large subunit ribosomal RNA
Source: RNAcentral
UACUAGAGUAGCACUCGCAUAUCAAUAAGCGGAGGAAAAGAAACUAACAAGGAUUCCCCUAGUAACGGCGAGUGAAGCGGGAAGAGCUCAAAUUUGAAAUCUUAAAGGGUUUCCCUUUACGAAUUGUAGUUUAAAGAAGUGUUUUCUGUUGAGGUUUUGGUAAAAGUUCUUUGGAAUAGGACAUCAUAGAGGGUGAGAAUCCCGUAUUUGACCUUUACUUUCAACUUUGUGAUACACUUUCAAAGAGUCGGAUUGUUUAGGGAAUGCAGUCCAAAAUGGGUGGUAAAUUUCAUCUAAAGCUAAAUAUUGGCGAGAGACCGAUAGCGAACAAGUACCGUGAGGGAAAGAUGAAAAGAACUUUGAAAAGAGAGUUAAACAGUACGUGAAAUUGUCAAAAGGGAAGCGUUUGACACCAGUGUUGUUUUUCUGAAAAUCAAUUAAAGAACUGUUUAUGCUAAGCUGUUUAGACUUUAUCAGCUAUCUGUUUAGUUUUGAGCUUUUCUUUAAUGCACUUUUCAGUUAACAAGUCAACAUCAAUUUCUUUUGCUGUAAAAAAGCUUGAGGAAGGUGGCUUGAGAUUCGUCUUAAGUGUUUAUCAGCCUCUUGCCUAUGCAGUCGGAGAGAUUGAGGUCUGCAGCGUAGAUCCUUCGGGGCUAAAUGCAUUUGUGCUAAGUUAUAGCAUUUUAUAGACAACUUGUUGACUAUGAUUUGUCUUGUAGCUUACUCGCUUAUGUUAUUUUACCUACGCUUAGGAUGUUGAGUCAUCACACAUCUCU